Molecule: ribosomal RNA, 425 nt
Filed under: uncultured bacterium
Lineage: Bacteria
Description: bacterial SSU rRNA
Rfam family: Bacterial small subunit ribosomal RNA
Source: RNAcentral
GUGGGGAAUAUUGGACAAUGGGCGCAAGCCUGAUCCAGCCAUGCCGCGUGAGUGAUGAAGGCCCUAGGGUUGUAAAGCUCUUUCAGUGGGGACGAUAAUGACGGUACCCACAGAAGAAGCCCCGGCUAACUUCGUGCCAGCAGCCGCGGUAAUACGAAGGGGGCUAGCGUUGUUCGGAAUUACUGGGCGUAAAGCGCACGUAGGCGGACAUUUAAGUCAGGGGUGAAAUCCCGGGGCUCAACCCCGGAACUGCCUUUGAUACUGGGUGUCUUGAGUUCGGAAGAGGUGAGUGGAAUUGCGAGUGUAGAGGUGAAAUUCGUAGAUAUUCGCAGGAACACCAGUGGCGAAGGCGGCUCACUGGUCCGAUACUGACGCUGAGGUGCGAAAGCGUGGGGAGCAAACAGGAUUAGAUACCCCAGUAGUCC